CCCCCAGCAUUCCAGACUAAUUGAGAGGGUAAGAUUCCUGAAAUGAAGGCUUUGGAAGCUAGGAGGCAGCUCUCCGGGCUCUGUGAGGCCGUCACAGCCAUCCUGCCCCAGGCACACCUGUACACCUGCACACAGGGUCGGCACGCAGGGGGUCAGGUGUGGUUGGAAGCCCGUGGUUCAGAGGGGUUUCAGGAGCCCACAGCCUCCUGGGGGCCAAAGUGCACGAUGAGCCACAGUUAGCACCAGAUGCUGAGCUGGGUCCUCAGGGAAGGCUUCCCCGGGGGGCACCAGAGCAGGACCCAGUGGCAGGAAGGAUCUGGGAACAUCAGAUGCGAAGGUCCUGGGGGAAACCCAGAGGUCAUGAAGCUGCGGAGGGUGGGGCGGGGUACGAAAGGGGAUGUGCCUUGAGACACGGGGUCUCGGCCACAGGAGAUGGGGUCCUCUUGAAGCCCCAGCAGCAAGCACGUGGCAAUGCCCUCCCGGCGCCCAGGUUCCAUAUAACCCAUUCUCCAGAGCUGAAGUCCACACCACCAGCGUCGCUGGAUCCUGAGCAGCAGACGGCAUGAGGGCCUCAUCCAAUCAGCUGAAGGCAGGGGAGUGUCGCCUAAGGGCCCGGAGGAGGAAUUCCCAGGACCGCCACAGAGAAGCCCGGCCUGAGCGCACAGCCUGGACUCGAGACUGCAACAGCGGCUCUUGACAGCCAGCGCGCCCUGCGAACUUCAGACGUGACAGCCCCA
RNAcentral lists this long non-coding RNA (737 nucleotides) under Homo sapiens (human). Its description in RNAcentral is "HSALNT0235349". Lineage: Eukaryota; Metazoa; Chordata; Mammalia; Primates; Hominidae. The record is from RNAcentral.